UAUGGCCGCCAACGUGAAAAUCCAAGAUUUAGCUUCCAGUGAUGAACUAACCUCCCUUGGUAAGUCCCUGACGAAUAUUGAAGAUAAUCUCGAGCGUUUUAUAACUUAUGAUAAGAAACAUAGUGCUGUGAUAUUGUCUGUUUUACGGGAACUCUUCAAUUACAACAAGAUAGACGAGGUGAUUUGUGGACGAAAGAUAGAGACUUGUCCUUUCGAAAGUUUACAACUGGAUCCAAUGAACUUCGACGAUGAGGUGAUAUGGCAACAAAUUCAACUUCAGAAUAAAUCUUUGAUACAAGAAAUAAAGACUGGAUUCAAACGUCUUCUUAAGAAGGAGAUUUAUUUGCAUUUAAAUGAUGAAGAAUGUAGUAGGAGUAAGGAAAGUGACGUGAUCACGUUGGAUAAAAAUGAAAUUCCUGCUGAUUUGGCUGAGUCAAGUUCUUGUGGAAAUAAUCAUGCUGAUAGCCUGCUGGAGGAAAAUACUGAUGAAGAGAUGGCAAAAAGUAUUGAAAAAAGAUCGAAACCCAAGAAAACCAGUUUCAAAGGUUCCAUUGUGGAUGAUCAGUUCUUUAAGUUGGCCGAAAUGGAGAGGUUUCUUGAAAGCAAGCAUGCCAGAGAUGACGCUUCUUCAGAUGGGAGUGAUGAUGAUGAAAAUAUUGAUUAUUUCACGGAUUUAAAUAAAGGGGAUGGCACAUCAAAUUUUGUUGAAAAAAAUGUUUCUCAAAGUGUGAUGUAUUCCGAUUAUUUUGACAUUCCUGAUGAUCUGACUGAAGAAAAGAUAGGUAAUGAUCAGAAGAGUGAUGAAAGUGUGGAUGAUGAUUUUCAAGAUAAGGAUAGUAGUGACUAUGAAGAGACAGAAGAAAUUUCCAGUGCUUUAGUUCUACCUGAUGAUGAUAUUGGUACCAAAUCAACAUUGGAAAAACAACAAGAAAGGGUGAAGAAACAAAUUACAGCAUUAGAGGAUAGCAAUGUUGCUGCAAAGUCGUGGCAACUCACAGGAGAGAUAUCAGCUUCUGCUCGACCCUCAAACAGCCUUUUAGAGGAAGUCUUGCAGUUUGAUCAUACAACUGCUGGUGCUCCUGUAAUCACUGAGGAGACAAGUAAAACGCUUGAAGAAAUUAUUAUACAGAGAAUUAAAGAUGGUGCUUGGGAUGAUGUUGAGAGGAAACAAAAGCCAGUGAAAGAACCUUAUGAAUAUAAAAAACCUCAGCCUCUUAAUCAAGAAAAAAGUAAAAUGAGUCUCAGUGAAAUCUAUGAAAAAGAAUAUCUUCAACAACAGAAUCCUGAAGUAGAACAAGAGAAUGAAGAACAUCAAGAAAUUGAGAAAUUAAUGAAGUCUCUCUUUUCAAAAUUGGAUGCCUUAACUAACUUCCAUUUUACUCCUAAACCGCUCAAAUCUGAAGUGAAUAUCGUCUCAAACGUGCCAUCAAUAAGUAUCGAAGAAUGUACGCCAGUGAACGUGAGUGAAACUGCUUUGCUGGCUCCUGAGGAAAUCUUUGAUAAACAGAAAACUGAAGUGAAAUCUCAGGGAGAGAUGACGAAGCAGGAUCGAAAUCGUGAACGGCGGGGGAAAAAGCGGAAACAACGCUUUGCAGCGAAAGAAAAAGCAAAACUUCAAAAAGUUAUUGAGAAAACUAAUCCAGGUCUUGGGAAUAAAUACGGCAAGGCGAAAGCUCUGGAGUCUCUGAAGAAGGACAAAUCAAGCACGAUUGUCGACGAGAAGAAACGAGACUCUUCUCUGACAUCAUCCUCCGGUUUCUUUACUCAACUACAGGACAGCGUCAAAGAAGAGAUUCAUAAAAAGACCCAAAAUGGAAAGAAAAAGAAGAAGAAUGAGACAACGUCUGCUCAUUGCAGGCUUUGAAAUGAGUGUGAAAGUUGUUAUUGUGAGGUCUAGUACCUCGUUUAACACUAGAUCAGACUCGCUUGACAGGACAUCGUACUUUGCAGUUGGAAAAUGAAAUAAAUGGUGCUUGACAUUACGAUGAUAAUCCGAUCAAAUAAAACGAAAACCUCAGCGUUUGAGAUUUGGUGAGGCGAAUAUAACUUAUGGUAUAGUUCGAGAAAGCUUUUUAGCUGAAAGUGAACAAAUAUAAGAGGAUCUUGUUUGAUGGAUUUUAGUGAUGACGUUUCAGACAUGAAUGGUUAACGUCAUGCACGAAUACAUCAGAAAAUUUACCUCUCCACUGCUCAUCACCACUGACUAUAAACCGUUGCAGGCUCAUAUUCACAACAGUUGGAUUCCGUUUGAGUGGCACCCCCCUGAGCGAUAGCAUUGUGUUUAAUGUUAAUACCACGCUGAUCUCGUUAAUACUUAUUCAAAAACUAUAAUAAUUUUCUAUUAGCCAUAUUUAUAGUCUCUUAAGUACAAAUAUAGAAUCCAAAGUCUGAACCAAGAUAUACGCGAGUGUGUUAUCUUAUCUGUGUCUAGUUUUAAAAUGUGUUUUAAAGACUAGCUUUUGGUUCGUAAUGGUUAGUUCUCUUGUGUUCAUUUUGUCUGGUCUAUGUAUUUUUACUGGAUUGUAUACCUUCACUGCUGCAUGUUCCAUUACGAAUGAAUGCAGCAGCAACAACGAAAUCUGUGCAACGACAGGUUCUUGUGAGUGUAAGAGUGGUUUUAGUCGCAGUAAGAACGGAACGUGUGUUAUUAAAGGGGACGAAGCAAGCUCAAAAUCUCUGUACACAAUCCUUGUUGUAGUACUCUCAACUCUCAUUAUUCUGUUGCUUCUGUCACUUUGUCUUUUUGUCCUUCUUUAUCGCAAGA
This 2764-nucleotide unclassified non-coding RNA is filed under the name Dendronephthya gigantea. RNAcentral's name for it is "U3 small nucleolar ribonucleoprotein protein MPP10- like, transcript variant X1". Lineage: Eukaryota; Metazoa; Cnidaria; Anthozoa; Malacalcyonacea; Nephtheidae. The record is from RNAcentral.